This 92-nucleotide transfer RNA is filed under the name alpha proteobacterium HIMB59. RNAcentral describes it as "tRNA-Ser (GCT) (tRNA-Ser-GCT-1-1)". It matches the Rfam family "tRNA". Rfam says of the family: Transfer RNA (tRNA) molecules are approximately 80 nucleotides in length. Their secondary structure includes four short double-helical elements and three loops (D, anti-codon, and T loops). The record is from RNAcentral. RNAcentral also lists the same sequence under 3 other names. Lineage: Bacteria; Pseudomonadati; Pseudomonadota; Alphaproteobacteria; Candidatus Pelagibacterales; Candidatus Pelagibacteraceae.
GGAGAGGUGGGUGAGUGGCUGAAACCAGCGGUUUGCUAAACCGCCGUACGACGCAAGUUGUACCGAGGGUUCGAAUCCCUCUCUCUCCGCCA